GGCGANCUUCGAGCCUGCUUUNUCAUCCUAUACACCUGUGAACUAUUUGCCUUCGGGCACCAAACAAACAUAAUGGUAAUGAAUGUAAUCUACUAUAAUAAAUACAACUUUCAACAACGGAUCUCUUGGCUCUCACAUCGAUGAAGAACGCAGCGAAAUGCGAUAAGUAAUGUGAAUUGCAGAAUUCAGUGAAUCAUCGAAUCUUUGAACGCAAAUUGCGCCCUUUGGUAUUCCGAAGGGCAUGCCUGUUUGAGUGUCUUAUAAACCUCACCCCUAAUGUUUUAUCACAAUAGGUUGGUGCUUUGGGUGUUGCCAUUUACCUGGCUCGCCUUAAAUGACUAAGUGGAAUGCGUAAUAAGUUCUCGCAACCCUCCACUCUAAUACAAUUUAUAUUCUGACCUCAAAUCAGGUAGGACUACCCGCUGAACUUAAGCAUAUCAAUAGGCCGGAGGAA
RNAcentral lists this ribosomal RNA (454 nucleotides) under Dioszegia hungarica. Its description in RNAcentral is "eukaryotic LSU rRNA". The stretch from base 106 to 259 matches the Rfam family "5.8S ribosomal RNA". The record is from RNAcentral. Lineage: Eukaryota; Fungi; Basidiomycota; Tremellomycetes; Tremellales; Bulleribasidiaceae.